CCCCAAAGACCUCUCAUCACUUUGUAUCUCUCACCAUCUCUGUAUCUAACCCCAAACCCUAGCUGCCCUAAGAUACUUCACCAUCUCCGCCGCUAACCGCUCUUGGAUAUCGCCUCAUGACGGUUCCGGUGCUCCAAACACCUUCAAAUUAACACCCCAUAACCCCCGUCCCUUCCUCUUUCAAAAUCCACGAGCUUUUUCUCCAAAAUCCCCACCCAAACCCUCGAAUCUUAAAUCCAAAAAUUAGUUUCUAAACCCUAAGUCACCCAAAUGCCACCAAAUUCACACCAUGCAAUCCCUCCCUUCUCCUCUUCCCAAAUAUCCCCAUGGUUCCUCUCAAAUCAUCCCUAAUCUUGUCGAAUUUUAAAUCUACGAUUCCGAAAAAACCUGAAUUUUCCUUUUCUUCUUUUCUUGGUUAGUGGUUGGUCAAGUGAACCCAAAACAUACAUUAAUCGACUGUUCUUGUUAAGAACAGUCGAUUAAUGGUAGUUCCAGUUCAUUUCUGCCUUGUGAAGUUUGGCCAAGUUUGUAGUAGGGUCCAGUUUGUAAUAAACCUAGGUAAUUUCCUUUUCUGUUUAUUUUACUUUCUUGUUAAUUGUCUUCUUCAUGUUAAUUGCUUCCUUUAGCUGCAUGUUUUAGGGCUAUAAUUUUAGGUUUUCUUUUCUUUAUUCACAACUACUUAGUUGAUCAUUUGUUUCUAUUUUGUAAGUUAAUUGAAGCAUGCCUGAAUUUUAUUCAAUUGCAUGAGUUAGAUUAAUUAGGUUUCACUGUUCUUUCAUGUUAGGUUUAGAAUUUGUUUAGGGUCUUUUUAGUCUAUCUUUGCAAUUCUGUUUUGUUUAAAUAUAGAUGCAUUAGUCAUUUGAAUUAAGUGUUGUUUAGGUUUAAUUAGAUUAAUGUUUUUUUAGGUCAGUCUCAAGGUUAACAUUGCAUCGUUAUCAUUCUGUUUGCCCUUUUAAUUUGAUUUAUAGAUUUUGUCCUGAAUUUGUACAUCAUUAGGAUAUAUAAGGACUUAAUUAGACUAAAAGAAAACUUAGGGGAUUGCAGAACUUUAUUAAAAAUAAAAUAUCUAAAGAAAGAAAGUUUUAGAAGUGUACCUUCUAUCCAAAUUAGUUUAAAAAAGAUGCUGAAAAUGGAUAGUUGGACAUUUUAUCCCCUAUCAAGAUGCUGUACUAUUCUGAUUUUCAGAAUUUUAGGUUAGAAUAUGCUUUUUUGAUGCCAUUCUAAAGCACUCUAUAAAAGAAAAAUAUUCCUUCAUUCACACACACACAUUCAUCAUCAUUCUAUGCACAAAAGGUUCUGAAAAACAUGUCAGAUUUCAGAAAUCCUAGGAAAAAUAUUCUCUCAAGUUCAGCUACUUCUUUUAAAAGAGAAUUGAUUUCUUUGGCUUCUUAUUUCAACCAAAAACAUUCAAAACUUCUUAUUUCUGGUCUUUAUAAUCUGAGAAGCAUGGUUUGAAGUGGAGGUUUUUCUUGGCUUUCCUUGGGGUAUACUGGUUUUAGCUACUGUAGCUCUUUGUUGGAAGUCUGGUUCCUGAUUUUGGUUGUUGAUUUUGAGUCCUGUUGCUGCUCUCUUGUUCUAAGUUUUCAACCACUUUAGUUAUCUAUUGGUUGCUAAUUUUUGUUGUUCUUUCUAGGUAUUUAACCUCAGCUCUUUCUAUAUGUAAUGCCUUAAUGUCUUGUUGAAAUGAUAUAAAAUCAGUUUUGUAAAUGGCAUGUGUAGAAAUGAAUGUCUUUUAUGAUAGCAGUAGUUUACCCUUGAUAUGCAUUUGAUUGGUUUUGAUUAUGUGUGUUUAAAGUCUGGAAUGAUUUAGCAUGAAUAACUUAGUCAACACAUGAGUGUCUUUGUGGUUUUAUCUAGCAAAAAAAAAACUGUCUUAUAGCCAAACAUUCUGGUUAUUAAUGUUGAUUAUGAAGUUUUAGUUAUGUUUUUUUCUUCUUUCUAUCAUCUGAUGGCCUUAUCUUUACUUAAAACCAUUGUUUUCUUUCUUUGUCUGUUUGGUUAUGAGCUGCUACCUGCAGAUUUGGACACUAGUUGGCCUAAUCAGCAGGUUCAAAAGCUGGAAAUUGGGAAUCAUGUUGUUUUUGACAAGAUGAGACCAAACUCUAAUGGACAAAUCAUGUCCAAAAGAGGCAGGAAUUCUUCAUGAUGACAGUAAGGCAAAUUUGUAAUAGCUUAGCUUUUAAUGUAGUUAGUUUGUGUAAUAAGUCAUAAUGUAAGGUAUUGAUUUUGAAAAGAUGUUUAGUUUAUUUGAAGAAUAUAAUGAAUCAGGUUUUAAUAUCAUGUACUAAAGAUUCAGAACAGAUACAUUAAGAGUUUAAUUAUGUGUUUAUUGUAUUUUACAAAAUAGUAGUGGUGUAAAGGAGCUGGGCUUUGAGCCUACUCAGUAGAACUGAAAGGAUAUUCAUUCGAUUAAAGAGGGCUGAAUCUGCAGCCCAAGUGAAAGACUAACCUCAAAUGAUUUGGGCCUAGUCUAUAUGUUCAAACUUUGGAUCAGUCUUUUAUCAUAAAUCAUGUAUGUGUUUUUUUGGUCGC
RNAcentral lists this long non-coding RNA (2532 nucleotides) under Nicotiana tabacum (common tobacco). Its description in RNAcentral is "long non-coding RNA (NTAB_LNC003225)". The record is from RNAcentral. Lineage: Eukaryota; Viridiplantae; Streptophyta; Magnoliopsida; Solanales; Solanaceae.